CCAGACUCCUACGGGAGGCAGCAGUGAGGAAUAUUGGUCAAUGGUCGGGAGACUGAACCAGCCAAGUCGCGUGAGGGAUGACGGCCCUACGGGUUGUAAACCUCUUUUGCCGGGGAGCAAAAAGCGGUACGUGUACCGCAUCGAGAGUACCCGGAGAAAAAGCAUCGGCUAACUCCGUGCCAGCAGCCGCGGUAAUACGGAGGAUGCGAGCGUUAUCCGGAUUUAUUGGGUUUAAAGGGUGCGUAGGCGGACGCUUAAGUCAGCGGUAAAAUUGCGGGGCUCAACCUCGUCGAGCCGUUGAAACUGGGUGCCUUGAGUGGGCGAGAAGUACGCGGAAUGCGUGGUGUAGCGGUGAAAUGCAUAGAUAUCACGCAGAACUCCGAUUGCGAAGGCAGCGUACCGGCGCCCAACUGACGCUGAAGCACGAAGGCGUGGGUAUCGAACAGGAUUAGAUACCCUCGUACG
This 465-nucleotide ribosomal RNA is filed under the name uncultured bacterium. RNAcentral describes it as "bacterial SSU rRNA". It matches the Rfam family "Bacterial small subunit ribosomal RNA", at positions 331 to 793 of the family's 1533-position model. The record is from RNAcentral.